UACAGAGGUCUCAAGCGUUGUUCGGAUUCAUUGGGCGUAAAGGGUGCGCAGGCGGCGCGGUAAGUCGGGUGUGAAAUCUUGGAGCUUAACUCCGAAACUGCAUUCGAUACUGCCGUGCUUGAGGACUGGAGAGGAGACUGGAAUUUACGGUGUAGCGGUGAAAUGCGCAGAUAUCGUAAGGAAGACCAGUGGCGAAGGCGGGUCUCUGGACAGUUCCUGACGCUGAGGCACGAAGGUCAGGGGAGCAAACGGG
RNAcentral lists this ribosomal RNA (253 nucleotides) under uncultured bacterium. RNAcentral's name for it is "partial 16S ribosomal RNA". It matches the Rfam family "Bacterial small subunit ribosomal RNA", at positions 524 to 776 of the family's 1533-position model. The record is from RNAcentral.